AGUCAGCAGCAUGAAACCUCAGAUGAAAGUAUAUUAACUGAGGGUCUGGUAGAACUGUUCAGCAAAGCUAAGCAGACUUUAUUUAAAGAAAAUGCUCAUUCCCUUUUGCUGGACACACAACUUCUAAGAUCCAUGUAUCAUGCUGCUAAGUAGUGGCUUUGGGAUGCUCUCUGUAUAAAUGAAAUUUUCUAGUCAGCUGAAAUUCAAACACUAAACAUUCAAAUAUUUUAGUAGCUGCUGAUAUAAAUUGUACUGAAAUGUAAUGGUUUUAAGCGGAAGCAAUUUAAACAUCUUUUCACUUUUUCUUUAUGAUUGCAUCAGUCAGCUGUUGCUCCAUAAAAAUCAAUUCCACAACUCAGUGGCUUAAACUAAUUUUCAUUCAUUCUCACUCUCUGUGAUAGAGAUUGGCUGGGCAUGUUCUGGGCCAGGCCUGACGGCAUGACUCUACUUCAUGCUGCAGGCCUGUCUGGGUUUAGGUCCUCACUGUGGAUUAAGCUUAGGUCUGUUCCAGAAAUGUUUAUUUUGAGGGCCCAGUCUGAAGGAAGCAAACCAGCGAAGCUAUUCCUAUGGUCGUGGUAGGAGUACAAGAGUGUUAGCCCAACUGUGCAAGCGCACUUCAGCUGUCAACUGGAAUCACAUCUGAUUCCAUUCCGUUGGUCAAAGUGCGGAGCUAAGAACUCUACAUGUAUAAUGUCAUGUAAUUCCCCACGCCUCUCCAGCGUAGGUACUCU
RNAcentral lists this long non-coding RNA (731 nucleotides) under Homo sapiens (human). RNAcentral's name for it is "HSALNT0342696". The record is from RNAcentral. Lineage: Eukaryota; Metazoa; Chordata; Mammalia; Primates; Hominidae.